Molecule: ribosomal RNA, 495 nt
Filed under: uncultured bacterium
Lineage: Bacteria
Description: partial 16S ribosomal RNA
Rfam family: Bacterial small subunit ribosomal RNA
Source: RNAcentral
UGAACGCUGGCGGCGUGCCUCAUACAUGCACGUCGAGCGAACGGACGAGAAGCUUGCUUCUCUGAUGUUAGCGGCGGACGGGUGAGUAACACGUGGAUAACCUACCUAUAAGACUGGGAUAACUUCGGGAAACCGGAGCUAAUACCGGAUAAUAUUUUGAACCGCAUGGUUCAAAAGUGAAAGACGGUCUUGCUGUCACUUAUAGAUGGAUCCGCGCUGCAUUAGCUAGUUGGUAAGGUAACGGCUUACCAAGGCAACGAUGCAUAGCCGACCUGGGAGGGUGAUCGGCCACACUGGAACUGAGACACGGUCCAGACUCCUACGGGAGGCAGCAGUAGGGAAUCUUCCGCAAUGGGCGAAAGCCUGACGGAGCAACGCCGCGUGAGUGAUGAAGGUCUUCGGAUCGUAAAACUCUGUUAUUAGGGAAGAACAUAUGUGUAAGUAACUGUGCACAUCUUGACGGUACCUAAUCAGAAAGCCACGGCUAACUACGUG